Molecule: ribosomal RNA, 471 nt
Filed under: Klebsiella quasipneumoniae subsp. similipneumoniae
Lineage: Bacteria; Pseudomonadati; Pseudomonadota; Gammaproteobacteria; Enterobacterales; Enterobacteriaceae
Description: bacterial SSU rRNA
Rfam family: Bacterial small subunit ribosomal RNA
Source: RNAcentral
UGGCAGGCUAGAGUCUUGUAGAGGGGGGUAGAAUUCCAGGUGUAGCGGUGAAAUGCGUAGAGAUCUGGAGGAAUACCGGUGGCGAAGGCGGCCCCCUGGACAAAGACUGACGCUCAGGUGCGAAAGCGUGGGGAGCAAACAGGAUUAGAUACCCUGGUAGUCCACGCCGUAAACGAUGUCGAUUUGGAGGUUGUGCCCUUGAGGCGUGGCUUCCGGAGCUAACGCGUUAAAUCGACCGCCUGGGGAGUACGGCCGCAAGGUUAAAACUCAAAUGAAUUGACGGGGGCCCGCACAAGCGGUGGAGCAUGUGGUUUAAUUCGAUGCAACGCGAAGAACCUUACCUGGUCUUGACAUCCACAGAACUUAGCAGAGAUGCUUUGGUGCCUUCGGGAACUGUGAGACAGGUGCUGCAUGGCUGUCGUCAGCUCGUGUUGUGAAAUGUUGGGUUAAGUCCCGCAACGAGCGCAACCC